Long non-coding RNA from Canis lupus familiaris (dog), 5373 nucleotides. RefSeq lists it as uncharacterized. The record is from RefSeq and is a predicted model, not a curated record. The transcript has 11 exons. NCBI's taxonomy places the organism in Eukaryota, Metazoa, Chordata, Mammalia, Carnivora, Canidae.
UAAGGCUGGCAGGCUGGGGUGAUGACAACAAUGACUUUGGCUCCCUCUCCCCCUCCAUGCAGGUGGCCAGGAAGCUGCAAGGAGGUCCUCUGGGCAGUUGGUGAGGAAGCCCAGGCCUGCACCCCUAGUCCUGCUUAGACUUUCUGAAUCCCUACGAACACCAAAGCCUACGCUGUGCUCCCCAUGGACUAGUGACACGCUUUAUGCCUACCUGUUCCCUCCAAUCCAUCGAGGGAUCAUCAUUUAAACUAUCCACAUUUGCUGGUCCAAUAACAAUAAAAACAACUUCUGAGAUACAUUGUUAAAAGUUUCUCCCCUUCUAACCAAAAAGGAAAAGUUAAACAGCCUUUAUUUAGCAUCACUUGGAAAUGAGCCUGUGGAGUGCGAGGGGACAAUCUACUGGCCUCCACCUUUACUCUCAUCAACGCACCCAUGAAAGCAAGAGACAGGAAUGCAUUCAAUUUGGCAAAGAAUUUUCAAAAUGCAAAAGGAAGAGCAGAGCCUUGAGUCUGAAUGCAGACUUAGUGUUUGGCUACAACAUGGAAUAGAAAGAAGAUAAAUACCCUCCAGUUCCAUCCACAUUGAAGCAAAUGAGAGAAACAGAGGCGAGAUUCUUCUUGGGCUAAGGAGGAGAGUGGCUGGCCCCCCAGAUGGAUGCCAUCUCUUUAGGAACAUGGAGGAGGAAUGUUCUGCUGGGGCCUCAGGACAUUAAGAGCACCUGGAGCCCAGUGGCACCCCUGUGGACAAAAAAGAGGACUUGUGACCUGGGUCAGGGACAGGAUGGCAGUCAACGAUGGAGAACUCUAAGAUGGAACUGACAAGUGAAGCAUUGGGGGUGAUGGAGGAAAGAGGAUUCAGGAGUCUCCAGAUGGGGCAAUGAGAACAGAGGGACUCAACAACCUUUACUUGGGCACCUGCACUGAACCAAGAGAAAUGUAUGAAGGAGCAUAAGCCAGUAAGAAACUGCUUCUAGAACUAGAACGAGUUAGUCCUGCUACAAUCGCAGUGAGGCACAGAAGGCAUCGCUAACAGUGAAGGCCACCAGGUUCCCAGAUUUGUGCUAAGUGAUCCUUAUGUCUUCAUUUAUUUCUCAAGACAGCCCCGUGGGGCCAACCCAGUGCUCAUCUCCAUGAAGAAACAAAAACACGGUGAACUCACCACCAUCACUAUGUCACUGAGACCUAAGUUGGCAGACAGAAGUUUUCCCCUCCACCGGAAGCCAGAGCUGGGCAUGCAUGGAUCCAAGUAGCUGGCACUGGGUUGUUUUCAAGCAAGAGAAGUGAAAUUGUAAUUUUGUGGAGCCUUCCCUAAAAUUGAAAAAGAAGGAAGCAAAAUAUUUCUUCCUGCCAAAUAAGAGUCUCACAGGUCUCUGAACUUAAAAAAAAAAAAAAAAAGACUGAGCAAGACUAUAACAAAUAUAAUCUGUGAAAGGCCCUGGGCCUGGAGAUUUCCAAACAACAUGGAGGCUGGCUCCCACCAUCAAUGGACAGAGAGCCAUGGAAAGAUGAGAAGACAUGGCCAUGACAAGAAACAUGGACAUCACCAGAAGAUGUGACUCCAUGAUGGGCAGGUCGAUUCCACAUACCUUUCCCUCCUUCCCUACUUCCUCUUCUCUCCCUCACAUCAAGUGGGAGAUUCCUGGAACAUUACUCCACCCUCCCAGAGGACAGGAUGGCAGCUGCCCUGCAGCUGACCGAAUGCCAACCUGGGCUUGGGUCCCACCUGGUUUUGUCCAGUCUGUGAGUUAAAAUCUCUUACCAAAGCAACACAGAAAUGCAAUGUUUGUUUCAAAAAGUUCAGCAGAAUAUUGAGAGAAAACUAAUGAAUUCAUCAAAUUUAUAGUGAAGUCUCGAUACAUUUCAAUCCCCUCGUUCCUUGUUAGACUAACCACCUUAUUUGUGAGUCUAGUUAGGCUGGAAUUCUAGGGGGUUGCUGUUAAUGUAUGCCACAUCUGGUUUGCUCCAGGCUGUGGGGAGCAGGUGGGCACAGGCUACCAGUGGGGCACUGCUCGUGCUUGUUACUGUCAUUAAUAUCGUCUCUUGUCUGUGGUUUCCUCUUUAUCCCAGCACCGCUCUCCAGGUAUGGCUCCCAUUCCAACAACCCCCAACCUCCACUCUGACCCUGCCUUGGGCCCAGCAGGCUCAGCUGGUGUUGCUUUUGGAGCCAAUGGGAACCUGAAAAGCAGGGUUGCUGAGAUGCUGUCUGAAGCCAAGGUGGGAAGAUGGCAAAGUAUGAUUCAGUGCCCUCAAGGACAGAUCCACUGACACAUUCAAUAUACGAUGCCAGCCUACACGCCUUUUCUUUAGCAGAACCCCCAAUCAUGGAUGUCCUUCCCUGCUCUGUAAUUCCUCAACACCCAGUGCAAUAAAUACAACCAAACAUAGCCCAAAUGGCUAAAAGAGUAUUCAUCUUUAAAUUCUAUAACUAUUUUCUAAUCCACUAUUUUUAGUAUUAGAGAGUAAAAAUAAUGAUUUCUUCCUACACGAUUAAAACUUUUUUUGGAGGGGGUAAGGGAGAGAAUUUGGGAGUCUACGUACAGAAGAAAUACAAUUUAAAAACAUUUUCCUGCUAAAAAUCCUUUUAGAUUCUUAAGAUUUGCGGUAUUGAGGAGAUCCAUUUCAUUUCUCAUGUAUUCUCUUCUUGAAAGCAUUUUCUUCUGAACUGUUUGGCUAGGCAUAAGAUGAAUGCCUGACCAGUCAGAAUAAAGUUAGGUGGAUUUUAUUUCCUCUUUUCUUUGAGGUCUUUAAUCAGAGGUCCUGAAAUUUGGAUCAACUGGAAAUUUCAGUCACUUUUGCCUUUUCCCCACAUGGAGUAUUUCCAAAGGGCGAAUCAUUAAGGCUUGUUUAAUAAAAUAAUUAUCAGCUCUUCGAUUUAUUUACAAGUCCCCUUCCAAGCAAUUCUUAUCUGCCAGACCCAGCCGCCAAAAUUCCCCAACAGGUGUCUGAAGCUAAUUAACGAAGAACUCAUAGCUCCGCAGGAAAGGAAGGCAGCAUUCAUGAGAUUAGGCUCUUGGGUUUGGGGGUUCUAACAGACACCUAAUCUGAAGAUACCAAGUUUUGGCUAAAGCACACAGCUUUUCUGCUGCCUAGAGUUUGGCUUGUGAAAUCAAGUUAUUAAAGAGAGCCAGCAAAGAGUGCUCUGAUAAAUCACCUCGUCUGGGAAACCAGGCUUCUUUUUAAAAUACUAAUUGAAAUUGCAUGUGUUUUAAUUAAAACAACAUCUGCCAGGGUCUGAAGAAACACAUUUUGAAAAGUAGACAAGGUAUGUCUCUAAAAUGUCCUCAAGCCUACUUAAUAAAGUGAUCCUUACACAUUCCCAGGAAUGAAAAAAACACAUGGCCUCCCAGUUGCACUGAAGUCUCCAGAGCUUCUGGUGUUUCUCUGGACAAAGGUGGGAUUCCCCAAGGUCAAGAACACGGGCAAAGGAGAUACCUUCAGUGCUGUGAAAGGGCUGUCCUCCAGCACAGGAGGCCUAUAUUUCAGAAUGUUGUCCCCUAUGAAAGCCAUCUACAGGAGAUGAGAAACUGAAACACUCACAUAUUUUAAUUUUUUUUUAAGAUAGAGAGGGGAGGGGAGGAGCAAAAGGGGAAGGAGAGAGAGAAUCUUCAACAGACCCCAAGCUCAGUGUGGAGCCUGACUUUGCAACCCUGAGAUCAUGACCUGAGCUGAAAUCAAGAGUCGGAUGCUUAACCCACGGAACCACCUGGGUGCCUCCUUGCCCCCGACUUUACCUGAUGAGUGGGCCAUAUAGCUUUAGAGGCCUCUGUUCUCCGGUUUUGCUAGGAAGCACUGUGCGUGCAAAGUGAUAUUUUCAGUACAUAGGGGAUGAUGACCAAUAUGUGUUUCAAUCCUGGGCCAAAAGAAUUCAGACAAACUUUGAGAAAUGACUUCCUGAGUAAUAUUUGGAAUGCUUCUUCUUGGAGAUGGAGACCUUGCUUAGGUAUCUCUUUAUUUGCCUGAGAACAUGGUGUCAUGAUUAGAGAAUUGAAUAAAAAUGUAACCCAAAGUUUGGAUCAAGAUCAAUACUGGCAGGUCUACAAUUCCGUGGAUAGUCAUUUCAAGAAAUUCAACUGCGAGAUCACUAAAUAAAAGAAAAUGUUUACAAAGCUAUCCAACAUUCAGGACAGCAAAGAUAUAAUGAAGAUAUUUCCCCCCUUUCCCUCUAGUUCUCCAAAAGAAAAUAUACAUGGAUCCCUAGGUAACCAUCCAGCUUGGAGGAGGUCAUUCUAUCGACAGAAUUGAUGAUCUUCUUCUUUAUUCAGCCUUUAUUUUCACUUAAAAGGAAGUUUUUAUGUUGUCCUUUAAAUAUAACCAGCAACCACUGUCCAUAAACAGUCUUUACAGUGGUCAGAUAAAAUCUCUCGCCCAAAUAUUUAAAACCUUGUGGCAAGAAGGAAAAAAAAGCUAGGAAGGGAAUGCCCCCAACCCCUUUCCCUGAAUGAAUGAAAAGGAUAAUCAGAAAACCCCAAAAGGGGAGAGAAACAGCAAUGAAUGGAUUUACUGCUUAACUAAUAAUGAACUCCCAGGCAAGAAACUACCCUUAUUUUAUUCACAAUUUCAUCAGUGUGGGAAAGUGUGCGAUGUGCUCCAUUAGGGUACACCUGGACAUUGGGGCUCCUUUCUCCACCUCUCCUGGUGGUUAGAGCCAGCAGAGUUCUUUCAGGAAAUGGCCCCCUCCUGAGCUCAGAGAGAGUCAAAUUUUGCCUGGUGCUCCUUUGGAACUUGGAACCAAUUGACAGAGUGUUGCUUAGAUGGAAGCUCAGCUAGCUGAUGCGGUGAGUAGAAGGUUGGUUGAAUGAGCGGAAUGUGUGGGGCCAUCAGUCACAGCAACAUUCUUGUGGAUCAUUCUGGAUGUGGUGACCCAACCAUCCAAAUGAUAAUAGAGGAAAAGAGUCAAGCAAAGCAGAGAGGAUGAGGGGAAGAUGCAGAGCAUACAUAUGAAAACCUAACAGACAUUGCAAACAUAGGAUUACACGAUGGAAAUCUCAGACAAAUUGUCUCUUAUCAGCCACCUACGAGCUACCUCUACUCUGAGUUCAAGAAGUAGCCUUCAUUGGGAAGGCCACACCAAGUUGAGCUUUGAAUGGAGCAACAGAAUUUUAUUGGAAGCCCUGGUUCUGUCCCGUCUGAAACGACUAUGUGAGGAAAGAAAAAGUGGAUGUGGAGAAGGAAACCUUUGGAGUUAAUGGCCUAGUUUAAAUAUACAAAAUCCACGAAGAACUUUCAAGUUAAAUUCAAACUAAGUAUAAAUAUCCAAUUGUGAGGGUUUUUUUUUUUCAUGCCUUAUAAUACACUGUGAGCUUAAGAAAUGAUUGCAUUAAUUAGACGCAGAUUUGAAGUCUGGUUGAAGUCCCCAUAAAUAAAUAAAUGGAUG